RNAcentral lists this ribosomal RNA (623 nucleotides) under uncultured bacterium. Its description in RNAcentral is "bacterial SSU rRNA". It matches the Rfam family "Bacterial small subunit ribosomal RNA", at positions 202 to 842 of the family's 1533-position model. The record is from RNAcentral.
AAAGCUGAGGCGGUAUAGGAGGGGCUCGCGGCCCAUUAGAUAGUUGGUGAGGUAACGGCCCACCAAGUCGACGAUGGGUAGCCGACCUGAGAGGGUGAUCGGCCACAUUGGAACUGAGAUACGGUCCAAACUCCUACGGGAGGCAGCAGUGGGGAAUAUUGGGCAAUGGAGGCAACUCUGACCCAGCAACGCCGCGUGAAUGAAGAAGGCCUUCGGGUUGUAAAGUUCUUUAAUUGGGGACGAAGAAAGUGACGGUACCCAAAGAAUAAGCCACGGCUAACUACGUGCCAGCAGCCGCGGUAAUACGUAGGUGGCAAGCGUUGUCCGGAAUGACUGGGCGUAAAGGGAGCGUAGGCGGCGCAGUAAGUUAGGAGUGAAAUCCCGGGGCUUAACCCCGGAACUGCUUUUAAAACUGCUGUGCUAGAGUGAUGGAGAGGAAAGCGGAAUUCCUAGUGUAGCGGUGGAAUGCGUAGAUAUUAGGAGGAACACCAGAGGCGAAGGCGGCUUUCUGGACAUUAACUGACGCUGAGGCUCGAAAGCGUGGGGAGCAAACAGGAUUAGAUACCCUGGUAGUCCACGCUGUAAACGAUGGAUACUAGAUGCGGGAGGUAUCGACUCCUUCC